RNAcentral lists this small nucleolar RNA (124 nucleotides) under Jaculus jaculus (lesser Egyptian jerboa). RNAcentral's name for it is "Small nucleolar RNA SNORA33 (ENSJJAG00000007432.1)". It matches the Rfam family "Small nucleolar RNA SNORA33". Rfam says of the family: ACA33 is a member of the H/ACA class of snoRNA that guide the sites of modification of uridines to pseudouridines. The record is from Rfam by way of RNAcentral. Lineage: Eukaryota; Metazoa; Chordata; Mammalia; Rodentia; Dipodidae.
AAGCCAGCAACUAAUCUACUUCUCUGAAUGUGUUUCUGCAGAAAUAUAGAAAAUGCUGGCAAUAGCAAUGCCAUUUUAUGAGCUUUAAGGAUAGCUAUUCAGGUCCCUGAAAAUAGCUACAAUA